GACAGCAGUCGCCACGGGAAUACAGAGGGUGCGAGCGUUAAUCGGAUUUACUGGGCGUAAAGCGUGCGUAGGCGGCUUCUUAAGUCGGAUGUGAAAUCCCUGAGCUUAACUUAGGAAUUGCAUUCGAUACUGGGAAGCUAGAGUAUGGGAGAGGAUGGUAGAAUUCCAGGUGUAGCGGUGAAAUGCGUAGAGAUCUGGAGGAAUACCGAUGGCGAAGGCAGCCAUCUGGCCUAAUACUGACGCUGAGGUACGAAAGCAUGGGGAGCAAACAGGAUUAGAUACCCCCGUAGUCCCUGUCUCUUAUAC
Molecule: ribosomal RNA, 306 nt
Filed under: uncultured bacterium
Lineage: Bacteria
Description: partial 16S ribosomal RNA
Rfam family: Bacterial small subunit ribosomal RNA
Source: RNAcentral